Molecule: long non-coding RNA, 1139 nt
Filed under: Equus asinus (donkey)
Lineage: Eukaryota; Metazoa; Chordata; Mammalia; Perissodactyla; Equidae
Description: lncRNA (ENSEASG00005023654.1)
Source: RNAcentral
CAACUAGACUGAAGUAAGCACCGUGAGGAUUUCAUCUUCAGAAGACAAGAUGAGCCUCGUGUCCUAGUUCUUAUCCACAGCAGAAAUUCGGCAAAUCCUGAAACAAAGGCCAUGAGCUAAUGGUCCUACAGAAGGCUUAGGACUUCAAGAGUGCCUAAACGACAUCAAGUAAAUACUGGUUCUCUGCAGAAUGCCAGACUGCAGUUUCCUGAGUCAUUUUCUCUUCUCCCACCAAACGGCUCAAUCCCUUUGUAUAAGUCAUCAGCCGAGUUCAUGAGCUAGCACAGGCCACAAGGAAAUUUCAUUCUCAGUCUUUACAGAACUCACUGAGGCAAAAAUACUCUGCUGUGCAACUGAAGGGAGAUGGCUGUUCAUCCAAAGUUCAUCCAAAUCAGAAGAAGGCCCCUUCUGAGAAGCCACCAAUGGUUUCCAUUUAAAUUCUUAGCCUCUGAGGGCAUGUCCCUACAGGAUAAACUGACUUCUUCAAUGAAUUCUUUGGAAACCUGUUUUGAAGCACAAAGACCACAGACCAAGCCCAAAUGUAGACCUCGGGGCUCUGUUAAGGAUUACAGUCCCCAGAGUGAAAGGUAUCUUGGCAGAUUCUCUUUCAAGCCCUAUUUGCACUCCCCUUUUAGAAACAAAGGAUUGAUCCUCAGAGAGGGCAAAUGACCUUUCUCAGUGGCAGCCAGGACAAAGGACCUGAGAUCCUUGCAGACAGGGCCUUCCCAUGGUACCACUCUAUCUCCCGAGAACAAAGUUGUCCGCAACAGCUAGAGAACACUUAUCACCAGAUUCACUAUCGUAUCCUCUCCUCUGUGGUGAGGACAACUUUCAUUUGGGUUUUGUGCGAUUCCACAGCCACACUCUCAUCUAUUUUCACAUACGCAAUGAUGGAUAUCUUCAUGUUGUCUUCUUACAUCUAACUAAACAAGUAGGAAUUUUCUUUGGGAGUGAGUCUGUGUAAGGUAGGGGAGGGAUACUGGGGUCGAGGGUGGGGGUCGGCUUGGGGCAAGGAGAGCAGGGCUGGCUCAGGGGAGUGGGUCAGUGAAAUGCUUUGUCUCAACAGAACAGAAUAGGUGCUAAACCCCCCAAAUCAAGGAAUUAAAAGGGGAAGUACCAGAGGAGAUCCAAUUUGGAAG